CCUACGGGAGGCAGCAGUAGGGAAUAUUGGGCAAUGGACGCAAGUCUGACCCAGCCAUGCCGCGUGCAGGAAGAAGGCGUUAUGCGUUGUAAACUGCUUUUAUACAGGAAGAAACGACUCUUGCGAGAGGCAUUGACGGUACUGUAUGAAUAAGCACCGGCUAACUCCGUGCCAGCAGCCGCGGUAAUACGGAGGGUGCAAGCGUUGUCCGGAUUUAUUGGGUUUAAAGGGUGCGCAGGUGGUUUAUUAAGUCAGUGGUGAAAGACGGUCGCUCAACGAUUGCAGUGCCAUUGAAACUGGUAGACUUGAGUAAAGUAGAGGUGGGCGGAAUUGAUAGUGUAGCGGUGAAAUGCAUAGAUAUUAUCAAGAACUCCAAUUGCGAAGGCAGCUCACUUGGCUUUUACUGACACUCAUGCACGAAAGUGUGGGUAUCAAACAGGAUUAGAUACCCUGGUAGUCCACACUGUAAACGAUGAUAACUAGGUGUCGGCCGAAUCUGGUCGGUGCCACAGCGAAAGCGUUAAGUUAUCCAACCGUGGGGAGUUACGCCGGCAACGGUUGAAACGUUCAAAUUGAAUUGACGGCNGAGAGNGCGAGCGACGACGAGGAGGAGG
This 614-nucleotide ribosomal RNA is filed under the name uncultured bacterium. Its description in RNAcentral is "bacterial SSU rRNA". It matches the Rfam family "Bacterial small subunit ribosomal RNA", at positions 338 to 944 of the family's 1533-position model. The record is from RNAcentral.